Molecule: ribosomal RNA, 375 nt
Filed under: uncultured organism
Description: bacterial SSU rRNA
Rfam family: Bacterial small subunit ribosomal RNA
Source: RNAcentral
CGUAGGUGGCAAGCGUUGUCCGGAAUUAUUGGGCGUAAAGCGCGCGCAGGUGGGAUAUUAAGUCUGGUGUUAAAGUUCGGGGCUCAACCCCGUGAAGCAUUUGGAAACUGAUAUUCUUGAGUGCAGGAGAGGAAAGUGGAAUUCCUAGUGUAGCGGUGAAAUGCGUAGAUAUUAGGGAGGAACACCAGUGGCGAAGGCGACUUUCUGGACUGUGUCUGACACUGAGGCGCGAAAGCCAGGGUAGUGAACGGGAUUAGAUACCCCGGUAAUCCUGGCCGUAAACGAUGGGGUACUAGGUGUUGGGGGUAUCGACCCCUCCAGGUGCCGGAGUUAACGCAAUAAGUACCCCGCCUGGGGAGUACGGCCGCAAGGUUG